This 145-nucleotide ribosomal RNA is filed under the name Streptomyces sp. KhCrAH-43. The record is from RNAcentral. Lineage: Bacteria; Bacillati; Actinomycetota; Actinomycetes; Kitasatosporales; Streptomycetaceae.
UUGUCCGGUUGGUUCAAUUUCAUAGUGUUUCGGUGGUCAUUGCGUUAGGGAAACGCCCGGUUACAUUCCGAACCCGGAAGCUAAGCCUUUCAGCGCCGAUGGUACUGCAGGGGGGACCCUGUGGGAGAGUAGGACGCCGCCGAAC